Molecule: long non-coding RNA, 8056 nt
Organism: Bombus terrestris (buff-tailed bumblebee)
Lineage: Eukaryota; Metazoa; Arthropoda; Insecta; Hymenoptera; Apidae
Exons: 2
Source: RefSeq, a predicted model, not a curated record
AGUCAUAAACUGAUCGUCGUGUUUCGUCGUUGUGAAAUAAAAAAACGGAUGAGGUGGCAAAAAAAUGUAUUACGGACGAAGAGUAUUAUCGAGCGUGUUAGGAACGGAGAGUUUUAUCGAAUUUGAUAUCGCGAAAGGGACAGGUAAUUUUCUUUUUUAUGAGUCUUCCAUACAAAAACAAAUUAGGCAAAUUGAAAAAGAAACUCAACGAAUAUCGUAAAAUUUUUAAGUUUUACAAACUCAUAUAAUCCCAACCAUAAAUAUUUCUCACAUAAAUGUCCAUUUCUGGCCUACCGUUAAGUAAUAGGACAAAUUGACAACGAUACUUCAAACUGCUGAAAGGACUGACACUCUAUGUAUCAUCACGGUUGAAAGUUCGACAGGCUGACAGGUAAAUAAAAUAGACGAUGAACAACACGAUGAUAAAUAACGUAAUGAAUACAAUAGGAAGAACUAGUCAUGGGCUAUGUAUAAAAGGUGAGUGAUUCAAGGGGGCCAAAGGUUUUAACCAAUUGUGUAACCCGUUAAAAAUAACAAACUCGAUGACCAAAUAACAAAUACGGCGUAAAAUCCUAGUUUUCUUCAUAAACAAUGUUAUCUUAUUCAACGUCAAAUUUCCACGGGAGACAUUAGUCACAUAGUAAACACUUUUGUUUAUAAUUUUCUCUCUAUUUUGUUAUCGAUUUUCUGGAAACGAGGACAAAUUCGGUUACUGGGUACACAUACACUUUGUACUCUUCGGUCUUUCGAAUUUGUUAUUCAUUGAGUCGAAUUGUUCAUCGUUGGCUGACUAUCGAUGGACGAGCAUCGAAGCUGACCAUGACAAAGAAGUUUUUAAUCUGAGAAUAAUGUGUUACAUCGUGUAGCAAAUGUAGAAUAUUUUGUUCUUUUUCUUUCUACGAUAAGAUAGCGAUAAUAAUUUUUGGCUACGAAUUAGAGAUAAUACAGCAAGUCGUUUCUUAAUAUUUUGCAUGGGAAAGGCGAUUAGCGUAGCGGCACAUAAGUCAGAGGACAAUUCAAAUCAUGUUGUUGUCUUGCCUCGGAGUAUCAAGACCGUUAGAUUAUAAGUAACGUAAGAACAAAUAGAAUCCGGACGAAACAAUGUCACCGCUAUAAGCAACCGUCGAAUAAAGACGAAUUCGAAUGUCCUGACCUGUAUAAAACCUGGACGCGAUCGCGAGCGACAGUACAUAUCGAGUAUCUAACGAGCGUCUAUCGAGUUACGCGACGAGCAUUUACGAGUAUAUAUUCCGCGAUUUUAUUUUGCGAUUUAUACUUCGUACUAACGGCUCGCGUUUACGGCUGUGUAUUAAUUUAUCGCUUUAAAUAUGUUCGACGGUUACAACAACAAGUAAUCUCGUCAUCAGUCCUCGCGUACCUACGUCCCCUUUACAUAAACAUCUACAGCAGUAUUAGUUUGUGCGAAAAGUUUCUAACGUUUUAAGAGGAAAUAAUAGACGCAAGGUUUAUUGUUUUAUAUUAUUUCGUCGAAUUACGUACGAUCAAUUUUGUUCUGUUUCGCAGAUUUACUUUCACGUUUGUACGAAGCUGCACUGUUGUAAAAGCACGUUUGCGAAAGAAAGACAGAAGAAGGACGACUUAAUACGUUUAGACGAUCGAUAACGGAAAAUCGUCUAGCAUUCAAGAUUAUUUUAUAAUAUUAGCUAUUUUUAUACAAUCCGUAGUCGUAAUUCGUACGUAAAGUUUACGUAAUUUCGUAAUUUUCUACGAUGGAAAUAUAAUUUUCUGUAAUUAAUUGAUUAAUAUUUGUCAGCGGUAUCGGUUAUCAGCACGUGUGAUUAGUGGAAAUAUCGAGUUAAGAACUAAUUAAAACAAAUCGUACAGGUAUUAGCAGGGAAAAUAUAUAAAACAAGUAAGUACGAACACUGCGACGAUAUUUCCUAACACGUUGAGAAAACAGGUCUACACUAACGCAAACAUCGAUUCAGAGAAUCUGUACAUACGUUCCAGUAAACAUUUCUUUAUAAAUAUUUGAUCGCUAAUAUUGAACAUGUUUAAUGUUCCAUCUUCAUUAGUUGUGCGCUUUUAUUUCCACGAGUCUUGCAAGCACCUUUAAUCGACCAACCUACAAGAUUCAUCUAAUAUUUGCACCACUGGUAUUAUUUACAAUUUUCAACGAGUAAUUUAUCAUCUGCUUACGAACCACAAAAAUAUUAUCACAAAUACAAAAAUAUUUAUAGAAGUUUUACUUCUUUUACGAUCCUGUCCCUCGCUACCUUUUCACUAUUUUGCCAUUUCCUUUUCUUUCUCCUCCAUGUAAUUACUCGAUUCACCGAACUAUCUUUUCAUUGUUCUUUGAAACGCUGAAAACCAGGAUAUAUACGUAGCUAGGGAUACAAAGAAAGAUUUAUUAAACGACAUUCCCAUAUUAUCCUACGAUAUCCCAUUUGUAUUUCUUCAACGACAACAAAAAUCUUAAUCUCCGGUAGAAACUUUGCGAACCCACAUUUCCAAGAACCAAGUAAUUUACCAACAGGAAUUUUCCGUCUAUUAACCCUUUUCCGUCUAUUAAUCCUUUUCCGUCUAUUAACCCUUUUCCGUCUAUUAAACCUACCGUCAAUAAAAGUACCGUCUAUUAAAUAACCAAAACAUCGUAAAACACCGUAAACCGUUAUCGUUUUUAAAUUGCAAGUAAUUUGGAUAAAAAUUAUGGCUAGCUAUCCUCGCGGCUAUCACCCCGUCCAUUAGUUCAAACAACGGAGAAAAGCAAAUGAGAUAACUACCGGCGAUAAGACUAAUUAAAUUCGUGGUACAACAAAGUUUUUGUUCGAGGAAACGAACGGCCGAAGAUUUUUCGAUAUUUUCCAACGAGAAAGGGCGAUCCUGUGUCGCGGGGCGCGUGUAUAAAAGCAGCACGCUUCGGAAUCGAUUGUACAAACAAGAACGUCGCUAGUAUGUGUGUGUGUGUGUGUGUGUGUGUGUGUAUGUAUGCGCGCACCCUCAGCCCCUGGGUGCCGAUCUUUCGUUAAAUUUCCGUUUCAUCGUUUCCGUGCAAACGUACCGCGAAAGGUAAAAGUUUUAAGCAGGCCAUCAGGCCAAACCUGAAAAACGUUUGAUUUUCGUCGUUCCUCUGCCUCGUUACUCAUUCCCAUGCCCCUCUUCUCGAACACACCGAUACUUCCUACGAACGACCGGUGGAAAACACAUUUCUAUUUAAUUGACGAGGAAUCGGUGGAAACGAAACGCGAAAGCUUCCUUCCUCUCGUUUAUUUUCCACCUUUUUAUCUUUCUUCUUCCUUCGAAGUUUCACUCGUUACAGCUAUCCUAUGUCCCGUGAUAUCGCUGUUGUCAUCGAAUAUAGUCAAAGUGUUAGGUUGUCCGAAAAGUGUCUUCCUUUCGCAGACGUGUUUUUUACAACAGUGCGUUUUUAUACAAACGUGAAAGCAACUCUGUGAAAUGUCGCGGUGUCUAUCUCGACAGAACAAAACGGAUCGUACGUAAUUCGAGAGAAUAAUAUAAAAGAAAAAACGUCGCGCGUUUAUUAUUUCCUCAUAGAACGAAAGAAACUUUUCGGACAACCUAAUAGAAAAUUCCAUCUAUUUGCUCCUUUCGUUCGAACUUUUCUUAUCGGAUAAUAAACAGAUUAUCGUCGUUGGAUCGACGGCAUUUCUGCUUCUUCCGAUUGAGUUUCACUGCGAAUACCAUCUCGUCCUUAAGAGAUAUUUCAUUGUGUAACUUUUGAGAAUAUUUUCUUACACGCAAUAAGAUUAGACGGGACGAGGUUUAUCUUUAUUUGUCAGAUUUUCUUCAACUUUGCAAGAUGUUUUAAGAUUAGGACAGUUAGAGAGAAACAUUUUUAAUCAAAACGGAAAGCGUAGAUAAAAAUUUUCAUCGACGUCAUUUUUAAGAAUAUCCAUUAAUCCCUGCAUUUACGUGUUUUUGCCAAACGAGAGACGUUCCGUGACAUUCUUUGGCGACUGAAAUCGGUCGUUUGCGCCAUCCCAAUAAAAUUUUUCAUGACGAUGAUAAUGUAAACUCACAUUUAAUUCAGUUUCUUGCUGGCAAAAAUCAAGUUUUAUGAACAUGGAAUUAUGACACUGCCCGAAAGAUGGCAAAAGGGCAUCGACGAAAACGAACAAUACCUAAUCGAAUGGAGCUAUGUUUUUAAGCAAAAAUUUGGAAUUUUCCUUAUUUAAAAUACGCAAUCGCUUAGUUGCCAACCCUCGACGUCGCGUCAAUCGGUAGCCGCAAUUUAAUUAACGUUACCGAUCAUCGUAACGAUCAUUUACCAUCGAUAAAAGAUCGAAUUUCUAUCUUUUACCAUCUUAAAGAGUAACCCUGUUUCUCUAACCAGCUAUUUUUCUACCGAGAUCUGGCGAAAAAUCUCGAUACCUGAACGUGUCUCUUGAAAAACCAGACGAAUCAGACUCUCGUUACGUGACGUAAAAAUUGUUAAGGGUGUAACACGAAGUAAAGAACGAUCGAUGAGCACGUGGAAAGAGACAGCAGUCAAUUUUAAUAAUAUCAGCCCGUUCUGUACGCCUUCGUGCACGAUGACUCGCACGAUUUUACGACGGCUUUCAAUUAUCCGGGGAACCAUACUCCCACGGGCCGCUGCCCUCGCGAAAUAUCGAUCCUCGUGCUCUCGACUGCGUGGCUGCCGGAAGUGGGUGGAACGAGGAAUUACGUUACGGAGGCGAGACUCGACGAUAAUCGUCGCUGCACUUUUCCAGAUCGUACUUGCGCGUCAUACAGGCAGGAAAAAUGUAUUUAGAACAACGUGGAACAAGUUUAUCGGGAUGAAUAAACAGCGAAUUCUUAUUUUUACAGACUCAAUCGGACACACGGAAUUGAAAUAAAAAUUUAUUUCGUCCAAUGUGAAUCACAAUAAACGCUAUGCUUUCGAUGUUUCCUACGUUUCUGUAUGUUACGUUCGUUUGCCUUUCGAAAUCGGCUACGAAUUCAUAAAUGUCCGCAGUCGUCCAACAUCUUUCGGACGAAGGAAGAACAUCUGCGAUAGAUUUACGAACGCAACCGUUUUAAAGGAAAAUUAAAAAGGCCGGGGAAAUAUAUUCGUUGUAAUCGUCGUUGUCCAACCGAGUGCGUAGUUAAACCGCGUGCACGUGAAAAAGUGAUUAGCGAUCAACAACAAAGUGCAGGAUUAUUUGCCGGGAAGAAGAACUCUCCGAAGGGAGAAGUAUCGUAAAUGAAAUGCGUAGAAGGAAAAAUAAUACAGAUCGACCCUGACCACGCGUAUUCGGUCGGGGUUACCAUGUUGGUUGGUUCGCAGGUAAUCGCCACGAGAACUUACGCGGAAGAUAAGCUUCACUGAAUUCCGUCGUCGUAUAAUAAAACGUUGGAAAAACCCGCGUGUCAGGUAGGAAGAAGAAACAGUUUCUUUUAGAGGGAAACGUGCGAGAGGAAACCUAAAAUCCUACCAUAAAACGAUAAUCGACUUACAACAGCGGUACUUUGGCUCAAACGUGUUCCGAAGAGGCGGUAGAAAAAGCGAGGAAAAAGGGACGAUAGUCCCAGAUGUAGAUUUUUUUUCCUCUCUUUUGUCUUUCCUUUUCGUUUUUUUCUUACUUUUGGAAAGACAGUAAACCGAACCAACCAUCGAACGACUGCCAUACAAAGAGCUUAGUAGCAAUUUUUAUAGUCGCAUGGACGAGGAUUGGAAUUGUUACAAUUAACAGGCAAUUUCCUUGAUAAAUUUUUCGAUGGGACGUAGAUAAUACGAAGAAACCAUUGAUAUAGAAUUUAUAGUAAAUCGUUGAAAAUAUCAGCGUGGUUAAAAUCUCUGAUUCGUAAAUUUGUUGAGAAAUUUUCCAAAUUUACAAUGCAGCGAUUUGUGCAGAAUAUUUUUGUCAUAUACCUUUUUAAUUCUUUCGUGCGAAUUCCAUGAAUCGCUUUCCUAAACGCACCACGCAAAGGGAGAAGCAUCGAGACUAAAGCGAGAAAAGAUUCGAUUCGUAGCAACGGAUCGCUUUAUCGUAACACAUUUCUCGGUUUUUACCUAAGCUUCGAUCGAAACAAUGUUUUGCUAUCAUCACCUACACUAUGGUAUACAUAUAUCGAGCCUUUUACUGUUUCAGACGAUCUUCGUGGGAGGCUGUGCACCGAAGACAAACAGCCAUACACAAGAAUAACAUCUUUCGCGUUCCGCUAAUCACAACACUCGGUGCUGCCUGUACACAGACGUAGAGACGACGAUGGAAAAACAUAGCGCGGUCGUCGUUCGAGCCGAUGGAAAAAGUACCGUUUCUAUCGGCGGGUUAAUGAAGUGGCCUGCGCGCAAGAACUGUUUUUGUUCAAAACAUACGAACGUAAUUACAGAUAAAAAUCCAUACUAUUUUAAUCCUCAUCUAUUCUUCCUUUUUUUUUUUUUUUUUUUUUUUUUUUUUUUUUUUUUUUUUGGUAAUUGGUAAUUUGGCAAGACUAUUGCUAUUUUAAUACAGCGAUUUGCAAAAUGAAAGGACGAUACGAAUAAUAAAUUUACCAAACACGCGUAUCACGAUCCUACAGGGAUUUUGUAAUAUCUUAACAAAUAGACAGACAAAUCAUCGAUCCGACAGUUUUCUUCGUGUACAUUUUCUUUUAUUAAAGUCUCAAGAAUAUACGUGUACAUAUGAUUAUGUAUUAAAACAAUCCAUCCGAAAAUGUGUGACACUGAACUAUCUGAUAAUCAUCCUCUUUGUGUAUGUAUAACGCUUUGUGUAUUUUCUAACUCGACGUAUAAAACCGUGACAACACAUUUUAGCCACAAGUGAAGUAUAAUACGUAUAGAGGUGAAAAGAUCGUGAGGGUUCUAUUUAGUACCUUUAAUGGAAAAUUUGACGCGCUAUAAUUAUCAGGCUACGGUUAUGCUUAACGAUUAUGGACACCGGUUAUUCUUAACUUAAGUGUUAGGAGCAUCCAGUAGAAAGGUCACUUUUAAUGCGAAAUUACCCUCCGAUCGGUUGUCCGAUUAAAAAAUACAAUGGAAACCUGAGCGUUCGGCACGAUCUUAAUGGCACUUCGAGAAUUAUUUGAUCGAGUAAUUACGGAUGCGCAGUGCGUUUCGAUCAUGCACACGGUGUAUAAUACAGGCCACGAUAUAGCCAGGCUGUAAAUUAAUCUUUCGUCCACAGUAUCCUUGAAACUGAAAGCGUUUUUUAUGCAGAGAAAUUAGGGGUGAAAAAACGGGUGAAAAUUCCGUUUUCGACGAUUAACAUCGCGUCUAAACUUUUCCACGAAAAGAGUUACAUGAUAGGAAUUACAUGGAAAUUUAUCGAGACUUAGAUAUUAAAUAAACAUUAAAUUCGCUAUGUGUACUUUUAUUUCCGAGUUCCACAUUGUGAAACAGAAAACGAUCGAUGCUAUUUCAUUUACAGAUCGAGAAGCUACAAAUAUAUUAAUCAUCGUUAAUGCAAAUUGAAAAAUAAAAGACAGAUCGUAAUAUAAAUAUAAAUUUGUAUUUUGACGUGUUACAUGAAGGACGACGAUAUCAAAAAUGUUCUCGUACACACUUAACCGAGCUUUUAGAUUCUUAUACGCAUAGUUGUAUUUUUCUGUCAACUUCAUUGUCCUGACACUCGAAACACGAUCGUUAGAACUUUGCUAUAUCAUGGCUCGUACUAUCUGAUUAUACAUUUCAUGUAAAUAUCGUGAUUACGUUGAUUCGUGCGAUCGUUAAGUACUCUAUUUAGGUAUACGUGAAUUACAGUUACUAUAUGUAUAUAUAUAUAUAUAUUUUAUUUUUCUUUUUACCGUGUAUAAAGUAAUUAGCAAAUGAGAUAGACCCCGUUUUUAGAAACUUGUCCAUUAUAUAAAUUAGAUUCGAAAUUAUCGUUAUAAGUUACGAUCAUAGCCGCGUGUCACUGAAACUUAUUCCAUGGGAAUAAACGUCUAAACAUAGAACAAUAAUAAUAGUAAAAUACUGAUAUAAUAAUAGAAACGUAGAAACGUCUUGAAUAAAAUUACUUGCAUCUAUGUAAUUCCUGCUAUCGCAGGAAAAAAAUGAUUUUUCAAUGAAAAUGCUAAAUUUCGUCAAAAUUUGAUAAAAUUCUAAUGUAAAAUUUGCAGAUACGAUUUAUUAAAAUUUCACAGACAUUUA